AAAUUGAAGAGUUUGAUCAUGGCUCCAGAUUGAACGCUGGCGGCAGGCUAACACAUGCAAGUCGAACGGUAACGGGAAGCAGCUUGCUGCUUCGCUGACAAGUGGCGGACGGGUGGUAAUGUCUGGGAAACUGCCUGAUGGAGGGAUAACUACUGGAAACGGUGGCUAAUACCGCAUGACGUCGCAAGACCAAGAGGGGACCUUCGGGCCUCUUGCCAUCCAGAUAUUGCUUGAAUGGGAUUAGCUUGUUGGUGGUAACGGCUCACCAGGCGACGAUCCUAGCUGGUCUGAGGAUGACCAUACCUGGAACUGGGGCACGGUCCAGACUCUACGGGAGGCAGCUUGAUGAAAUAUUGCACAAUGGGCGCAAGCCUGAUGCAACCACAUGCCGCGUGUAUGAAGAAGGCCUUCGGGUUGUAAAGUACUUUCGGCGGGGAGGAAGGUGUUGUGGUUAAUAACCACAGCAAUUGACGUUCCGCAGAAGAAGCUGCAACACAACUCCGUGCCAGCAACCGCGGUAAUACGGAGGGUGCAAGCGUUAAUCCUUACUGGGCGUAAAGCGCACGCAGAGCGGUCUGUCAAGUCGGAUGUGAAAUCCCGGGCAGCAGGAACUGCAUUCGAAACUGGCAGGCAGGUCUUGUAGGGGUAGGGUAUUCCGGUGUAGCGGUGAAAAUGCGUAGAGAUGCUGGAGGAAUACCGGUGGCGAGAGCGGCCUGGCGGACAAGGCGGCGCUCAGGUGCGAAAGCGUGGGAGCAAACAGGAUGCCAAAUACCUGGUAGUCCCACGCCGUAAACGAUGUCUACUUGGAGGUUGUGCCCGCGAGGCGUGGCUUCAGGUAACGCGCGUUAAGUAGACCGCACGGGAGUACGGCCGCAAGGUUAAAACUCAAAUGAAUUGACGGGGGCCCGCACAAGCGGUGGAGCGUAAUGGUUUAAUUCGAUGCAACGCGAAGAACUUAGCGGUGUUGACAUCCUGGGAACUUUCAGAGAUGGUUAGUUGCCUUCGGGGCCUGUGGGAACAGGUGCUGCAUGGCUGUCAUCAGCUCGUGUUGUGAAAUGUUGGGUUAAGUCCGCAGCAGGCACAACCUUGUCAUUUGUUGCCAGCGGUGGGUCGAGACUCAAGAGCUGCCAGUGAUAAACUGGAGGAAGGUGGGAUGACGUCAGAAGUCAUCGCCCAAUCCACUUGACGAGGGGGCUACACACGAUGUACAAUGGCGCGCAUACAAAGAAGCGACCUCGCGAGGCAAGCGGACCUCAUAAAGUGCGUCGUAGUCCCGGAUUGAGUCUGUAACUCGACUCCAUGAAGUCGAAUCGCUAGUAUCGUGGAUCAGAGAAUGCCACGUGGGCACGUUCCCAGGCGCUUGUACACCGCCCGUACACCAUGAAAUUGGGUUGCAAAGAAGUAGGUAGCAACACCUUCGGAGGGCGCUUACCACUUUGUGAUUCGCCUUGACUGGGGUGAAGUCGUAACAAGGUAACAAGCCAGGGGAACCUGCGGUUGGAUCGCCUCACUU
Molecule: ribosomal RNA, 1513 nt
Filed under: Salmonella enterica subsp. enterica
Lineage: Bacteria; Pseudomonadati; Pseudomonadota; Gammaproteobacteria; Enterobacterales; Enterobacteriaceae
Description: 16S ribosomal RNA
Rfam family: Bacterial small subunit ribosomal RNA
Source: RNAcentral